Molecule: ribosomal RNA, 2216 nt
Filed under: Epuraea sp. MJM-2013
Lineage: Eukaryota; Metazoa; Arthropoda; Insecta; Coleoptera; Nitidulidae
Description: eukaryotic LSU rRNA
Rfam family: Eukaryotic large subunit ribosomal RNA
Source: RNAcentral
AAUUAAGCGGAGGAAAAGAAACUAACUAGGAUUCCCUUAGUAGCUGCGAGCGAACAGGGAUUAGCCCAGCACUGAAUCCCGCGGCCGGCACCGGACGCAGGGAAAUGUAGUGUUAGGGAGGAUCCGUUUAUCCCGAGGCUUUGCGAUGCGUCCAAGUCCUUCUUGAACGGGGCCACAGCCCAUAGAGGGUGCCAGGCCCGUAGUGACCUUCGCAUGCCGCGGGAGGAUCUCUCCUCAGAGUCGGGUUGCUUGAGAGUGCAGCCCUAAGUGGGUGGUAAACUCCAUCUAAGGCUAAAUAUGACCACGAGACCGAUAGCGAACAAGUACCGUGAGGGAAAGUUGAAAAGCACUUUGAAGAGAGAGUUCAAGAGUACGUGAAACCGUUCAGGGGUAAACCUGAGAAACCCGAAAGGUCGAAAGGGGAAAUUCAUUCGCGUCUCGACGGUCGACGCGCGGUGUCGUGUGCGACGAACGGCCUCGGCCAGUUCGCGCCCCUCUGCCGUGCGAUCGGUCUCGAACGCGUGCACUUUUCCCCUAGUAGGACGUCGCGAUCCGUUGGGUGUCGGUCUAAGGCCCGCGGUGGAGCCCUGUCGACUUUACCGUCAGCAGGACCCGUGGUGUUCCCGGCCGGCUCGCUCGACGGUAUACAGAUGGCGCGGAGCCGCGACUCAGUUCGCGUUCGACCCGUUGCAAGCGCGCUCGCAGUCCUUGGCGAUCGGACCUGGUGCCGAUCCCGAGCUCGGGUGACUGUUGGCUUCGGUGUUCUCGAACAGACUCUGUGAAACGCCGAUCUGCGGCGCUAUAGCUUUGGGUACUUUCAGGGCCCGUCUUGAAACACGGACCAAGGAGUCUAGCAUGUGCGCGAGUCAUUGGGACAUAACGAAACCUAAAGGCGCAAUGAAAGUAAAGGUCUGCCUUGCGCAGACCUAGGGAAGAUGGGUGGUUUGCCCUAAAGUGGCCACCCCGCACUCCCGGGGCGUCUCAUUCUCAUUGCGAGAAGAGGCGCACCAAGAGCGUACACGCUGGGACCCGAAAGAUGGUGAACUAUGCCUGGUCAGGACGAAGUCAGGGGAAACCCUGAUGGAGGUCCGUAGCGAUUCUGACGUGCAAAUCGAUCGUCGGAACUGGGUAUAGGGGCGAAAGACUAAUCGAACCAUCUAGUAGCUGGUUCCCUCCGAAGUUUCCCUCAGGAUAGCUGGCGCUCGUCUUUACGAGUCUCAUCCGGUAAAGCGAAUGAUUAGAGGCAUUGGGGUCGAAACGACCUCAACCUAUUCUCAAACUUUAAAUGGGUGAGAUCUCCGGCUUGCUUGAACUUGAAGCCGCGAGAUUAGGAUCAGAGUGCCAAGUGGGCCAUUUUUGGUAAGCAGAACUGGCGCUGUGGGAUGAACCAAACGCCGAGUUAAAGCGCCUAAAUCGACGCUUAUGGGAUACCAUGAAAGGCGUUGGUAACUUAAGACAGCAGGACGGUGGCCAUGGAAGUCGGAAUCCGCCAAGGAGUGUGUAACAACUCACCUGCCGAAGUUACUAGCCCUGAAAAUGGAUGGCGCUGAAGCGUCGUGCUUAUACUCGGCCGUCAGAGGCAUGUGCGGUCACACGUGUUCAUUCGUGGGCCAUGAAGCCCUGACGAGUAGGAGGGUCGCGGCGGUGUGCGCAGAAGGGCUGGUCGUGAGACCGUCUGGAGCCGCCGUCGGUGCAGAUCUUGGUGGUAGUAGCAAAUACUCCAGCGAGGCCCUGGAGGACUGACGUGGAGAAGGGUUUCGUGUGAACAGCCGUUGCACACGAGUCAGUCGAUCCUAAGCCCUAGGCGAAAGCCGAUGUUGAUGUGGUGUAGUUCUUCUUAUAUAUAUGCAUAUAUUAAUGUUGUACACACCCUUCGGGCGAAAGGGAAUCCGGUUCCUAUUCCGGAACCCGGCAGCGGAACCGUCAAUAAGUCGGGCCCUCGCAAGAGAGUUCGUCGGGGUAACCCAAAAGGACCCGGAGACGCCGUCGGGAGAUCCGGGAAGAGUUUUCUUUUCUGCAUGAGCGUUCGAGUUCCAUGGAAUCCUCUAGCAGGGAGAUAUGGUUUGGAACGCGAAGAGCACCGCAGUUGCAGCGGUGUCCGGAUCUUCCCCUCGGACCUUGAAAAUCCGGGAGAGGGCCACGUGGAGGCGUCGCGCCGGUUCGUACCCAUAUCCGCAGCAGGUCUCCAAGGUGAAGAGCCUCUAGUCGAUAGAAUA